CACCCCGUCCCUCCUGCGGAACGGCUUGCGCUGCCGAAUCACUACGGCAGGCAUAACCUACAAGAGAACAUGAGACACAAAUCAGUAACCAGCAAAUAAAUCAAACCACAUGAGCAUUCGACGAAAGCUCAGCACAUCUCUCACACACCAUGCGUCGAAGAAACUGCACUGCAAAAACUCACCUUCUUCCUCAGCUCUGGCUUGCCCUUCUUGACGGUGGCCACAAACAUGUCACCGACGCCAGCAGCAGGCAGACGAUUCAGACGACCACGAAUACCGUGCACGG
Long non-coding RNA from Drosophila miranda, 286 nucleotides. RefSeq lists it as uncharacterized. Lineage: Eukaryota; Metazoa; Arthropoda; Insecta; Diptera; Drosophilidae. The transcript has 2 exons. The record is from RefSeq and is a predicted model, not a curated record.